AACCUCCCCCUCUUUCUCCCCCAAACCAGCACAUCCCUGCCUUGCCUUAGCUUGCAAAACGCUUUUCUUUUCCAUCCCUCUGUCGCGAAAACUCGUCGGGCUGCCUCAUUCUUUCACUCUUUCUUCGAGAGCCCUCCAUUUCGUCCCUGUAUUCUAUGUUUUCUGUACUUUUUGGGCAUCUUGGCACUGCAUUCUGGGUCUUAAACGUCGGGAGGCCAAUAGCAUUUCCGCUUUUUACUGUCUAUCCGUCCGUCUCCUGGAAGGACUAGUUAUAUUCUCACUCAAACCGAAUCGGUCCCCGCGUCGUGUUACUAGUCGAUGUAUUGCUUAUCAAUUCAAGUCUGGCCUAUGUUUAGAUAUUUUUUGUAAAAUUCUCAAGUCAUAUUUUUUUCCAAACAAUCCGUCGUGUAUGAUUAAUCUAUUACUUCUGACAGUAAUGCAUCCAAAGUUGAUUUAGUCUCGUGUCUGGUUGUUUUAGGAAAGAAAUAGUUAGGUUUCCUUUAGAAAUCAGUAAUAAGGUUGUUAUUAUUACGCAGGGAAGCAUGUUAGGUGAUAGAAUAACGUUAUACAAUAGCUUUUGAGUUUUCAUUUAUAAUGUUUACUUUUUGUAGGCCUAUCUAGUAGAAUGUUAGUUAUUUGUUAUGAAGGUAAGCUAUAUCCAGUGGGAAGGAAAUGUUAUAUUAUUGCUCUUACUUAUUCCAUAAAAAUCCAUACGAGCUGUCAUCUGUCUCGUCGGACAGCCAACCUAUUCUGUAAAUCCCUUUCUCUGCUCGCAUCACCAUUCUAUUCUUUCCAUGCAACCCGCAGCUCAACUCUCUGCCUCGGCUAUGGGCUCUCCCGUACCCGAGGUCUUACUGAUCCGCUCUUGUCAUGAAACACACUAGACUUACAAAACACACACACACAGGCCUACCGAUCGAUUUGCAUGUGACUCCGUCAGGGAAUCAGCAAGAAUCGACUUUAACAUCGCUUCAGAGAAGCAAACAGGAAUGAAAAAUAAAAGAAAAUGAUGGACAAAGUGGGGAGAGAGAAAAGUAGAGGAACUGAGCUGUAAAGCGGGGCGGAGGGAAAUACACAUGUAAGAAACGAAUCGGAAAGUGAUAAUGUUGCUUAAUAUAAAGGAUUUUAUCAACCCGUGAUGGUGCUGAAAACAGCGGACCGACCAAGUGGCAUAUCUGUCAAAAUAAGAAUGCGGGCGAUGUUUCUCUUUCGCGGGACGUACACGGACCCACAAGCUGGACUAAUGUGCUCUUUUCCUGGCUACGCUCAUGUGCAGCUCCCGCUACCCUCCGUAUGCUGAAUGUAACCCUUUCACAUCGUAAUCGUCCUCAAAAUGUGUUUCUUGACACCAAUAACACUUCUAUAUCUUUCCUGAUUCCAUCGAAAAGCACAAAUGUGUUUUUAAAUCCAUGUUUUUUGUGGUCUACUUCUUGGAGAGGAAUCGCUGUCUUGACCAUUUCUUUUCUUCCAGUCAUGAGGAGAACGAGGACGAACGCAGAUGUAAACACAGUCAUAGCCUGAGCAGUGGAGCCAUGUGGACUUGGAGUAAUUGCAGGUGACCACAGUGACUAUCUCUGAAUUAUGGGAAGCUUAACCCCCGCCAGCCCCCCUACCCCCUCGACCUCAGCUCCAUGGCAGGUGAUCCCACCUGUAUUUGGAGAGGAGGGGGGACCGAACCCUGAGCGUCCCUUGUCAGCGUGCUGCCUGUGGCCCUAGAGAGGCGGUGCCUAGCUGGCCUUUGGGGCCCCGGGGCCAAUAAAAGCAGGUGAUUAGUGAGGCCAUUCCCUGGCUAGGUGUGAGCUUGUUAACGCAAUUAAAGGCAGAGGUGUUUACCUUGGCACUACAUUAACACUAUAGGAGGGGUGGGGUCAGACCCUACCAGGGACAACACACAUGCCCACCUAACAAGUACAUUUUAGUCAUUUAGCAGACGCUCUUAUCCAGAGCGACUUACAGUAGUGUGUGGAUACAUUUUAAUACUUUUCCCGUACUGGUUCCCUGUGGGACUCAAACCCACAAAUCUGGCAAUGUGAGGCCAUGCUCUACCAACUGAGUCACAUGGGACCCUCUGGGUAAUACAACAUUUCUACAGUUUAUUCAGUCUGGAUUUGAAAGGGUACUCAAGGCAUCGGUCUGAAUCUGGUGUCUGUAUGUGACCUGUCUGAUUUAUUAGUUUCAUUUUAAUGUGAUUAAAUCCACAUUAUUUUGAUGCAUAUCUAUACAGUAAAAAUAGACACAUAAACAACAAAAAAUAAUGUGUGGCAUGUAAAAGGUAAUCUCCUCCCUGUUGUCAACUGACAGGCAGCUUUGUGACAUUCCCCUCAUUGCUUAGAGGAUGAAACAUGUGCAUUUGUUUAACUCCAAUGACUCCAAUGAUCACAGGAUGAUUACUGGCCUGUCUUGAACUUGACUUAAAAACUUGAACUUGAAUCAUUAGAUGUCUACUAUUUAAAUGGUUUAAUUCUGUGUCCUGAAAUGUAAUAAUACUAUUAGGUUAGGUUACUAUUAGGUUACUAUUAGGUUAGGCUCUUGGUAUAAUAGUGAGAAUGUGCACACUAUGUUCUCUACUAAAACUACACAGAACACAGCAGUCUGAACCAUGCUGGGAUCAACUGGAACAUACAGAUAGAUUGACUCUCUCUGUUCUCUUUCAACAUCCACAUGUAAUAUCAAGCAUGCAAAUAAAAGUGGGAUAAUCUGUG
Non-coding RNA from Salmo salar (Atlantic salmon), 2702 nucleotides. NCBI's taxonomy places the organism in Eukaryota, Metazoa, Chordata, Actinopteri, Salmoniformes, Salmonidae. The record is from RefSeq and is a predicted model, not a curated record.